Non-coding RNA from Meleagris gallopavo (turkey), 510 nucleotides. NCBI's taxonomy places the organism in Eukaryota, Metazoa, Chordata, Aves, Galliformes, Phasianidae. The record is from RefSeq and is a predicted model, not a curated record.
CAUACUCUUUUCUUUUGGUGCUGCCUUUGCUGCCUACUAGAAAUUUCAAGAUGCACUGAAUUUUCUUUUCAUGGAUCCAGAGAUCUUUAAGUCCGAGGAGGACGUGUCCUGGGCAAGGAUUAGUAGCCUAUGAAGGAAGGCUGGAAAUCAUCCCCAUCUAAUUCAUUGAAUAACAGAUGUUUGCAAUAAGAAAUGGAUGGUGAGUGAAAGGGAAGAACACCAUUAAGCUAAGAUGAAAGCAUUUGAAGAAAGAGGGUGAGAAGGGAGAAAAAAAGAAGUCUCAAAGCCUGAAAUGUGAAUAAUAACUCAUAGUAAUGAAGUAAUUAAGUGAAUGCGUGCAUUCUAUACUGCCACAGUUCACACAAAGCAGUGGAGACAGCAACAGUAACACUAAAAGAUAUCUCCUCAUUGUCAUGGCCAAAGGAAAGCUCUCCAUGCUCAGUGAGCUGGACCUCUUCUGUCUUUCCACAGUGAGCCUUCAGAUUUCUGUUACCCCAAAGGAGAAAACUC